This is a non-coding RNA of Candidatus Lloydbacteria bacterium, 87 nucleotides long. NCBI's taxonomy places the organism in Bacteria, Candidatus Lloydiibacteriota. The record is from Rfam.
GGAGACGUGGCUGAGUGGUCUAAAGCACCUCACUGCUAACGAGGCGUCCUGUUACAGGGACCGAAGGUUCGAAUCCUUCCGUCUCCG